Molecule: signal recognition particle RNA, 98 nt
Filed under: bovine gut metagenome
Also listed under: 1 other name
Description: Bacteroidales small SRP
Rfam family: Bacteroidales small SRP
About the family: The non-coding component of the signal recognition particle in Bacteroides
Source: RNAcentral
UCGGAAAGGUACUACACGACCAGCUCCCUUCCAAUCCCCCAGGGCUUGACCGCAGCAAGGGUACGUUGGUUGAGCGGUGCGAUGUAGAGCGCCUUUCC